RNAcentral lists this unclassified non-coding RNA (2571 nucleotides) under Hevea brasiliensis (rubber tree). The record is from RNAcentral. Lineage: Eukaryota; Viridiplantae; Streptophyta; Magnoliopsida; Malpighiales; Euphorbiaceae.
AGGAUGUCAACGUUACAAAAGUAGGGAAAAAAAAAUUUUUUCUCUUUUUCAUUUGGUUCUCAUUAAAAAACUGCACAAGCACAAGAUUUGCUCCAGCUGAUGCUUAACAUCCCUUUAUGUGCUUUUGCCACUGGCUUUGCCUAAAGAAGUGAAGUUCAACCUGAUAAGCGGCUUCUUCUGUGCCACAGGUGCAGUAAAACAGAACCCAUUAGAUAAUGGUGCCAUAAGCUCAGCAGGCUCAAGCUCCUCCAAGCCGCCACUUGGACAUAACGAAGCAAAUAGAUCAGCUCCAUUGCUGGAUAUAUGUGAUGGCAUUACAGCUACAUUUGCCAAUGAUGUUGCUGUCAUAUUUGCUGAUGUAGAUUCCACUGAGAUGUCUUUUUUAUUACCCCUUGAAUCUUUGAUCUGAUUUCUAUAUUCAAAAUCAUCUUCAAGCUCAUCAAGUUCUUGUGUUAAACUUUGGCUAUUAAUGUAAGGACCAGACAUUAUUUUCUCAAUUGCCAGCUUCUCAGCCUCCUUAGAGAAAGGGGCAUCAUUGGUGGCAAACAAAUCUUUACUUUGUGCAUUAAGCUCCCCAUCUUGAGCAAGAUUCCCUGAUAAGCCUUUUGAAUUGUUUACACCAUCUGUUAUAUUACUCUCCAAUUUUUCUUCCAUUGGCUCCCCAUUUGCACUCACAAAGCCACUCCCUACAGAGACAUUUCCAACAGAAGGGCUUCCCUCAUUAACUUCCCCACUGAAAGAAACACCAGCAGAGGAGUUGGCACUUUUCAUGGUAUUUGCUACAUUAUCAUCAAUUCGCCUUCUCUUCCUUCCAUCAUCCAAGCCAUCUGAAACUCCUUUAGCUUCAGAUGACUUUUCAGCUGAACUUCGCCUGCUAUCCCAAGUUGCUUUUGACGGACGAGAUGGACGAAUGCCACCAGGAAAAACAAAGCUAGGUAUGUUCCUCCGUUUUACAUGGGUUACAUGGAUCUCCAUUCCAAGCUUCCAUAAGGUAUACAAGUUGACAGAGUGUUUAAAUUCCUCAACAGUUAACCUUAUAUCAAACUGUUCACCUUCAUUUACAGGAACUCCUUGUUUACGUUGCAAACCCAUAAAGUAAGAACAACGUAGAGGUCUAGAUUUGUCUGUAAAUUCUCCCGGAUGCGGAUGGCACUGAAGCAUAUUGUAAGUGUGCCUCUCAAUCUUCAAUGUAAGCUGACGGAGACGCGAUUCAACCCACCCUUUCCAGUUUCUUAAAUCAUCUUCAUUUUCUGCAUUGAUGUCUAUUUGUAGGUAAUUCUUGUAUGCGUCAAAGAAGGAAAAAGGCUCAAAAAGGGUACCCCAAUCAGCCUUGUUUGCCUCCAUAGCCUCACAAAUCUCAUUCCCCCUCUGAAAUUCUUCUGUCAUUAUGCACAAAGUGCUUGAUGACACAUUGUAGCUAGAAUUCAUGCAAGGAUAUGCAGGAGUAAUAAUAGGCAUCAAAUGAAACCUGUCCUUCGGAUUUCUUCUAGGAUCCCAAACCGGGAGACCAAGAGAACCUUCUUCAAUGGCACAAAUCAUCACUGGAUUUGGCCAANNNGUGUAUACCCUGAAGAACCGAGAUACUAACAUAUUGGGCAAUGCAUUGGGAUAUAACUGGCAUAUACGAGCAACAAGUAAUGCCCAAUUUAUACCGCCAAGAAACCCUGCAACAUUUGAAUAAACACCACAGCGUUUUGCCCAAAACCUCAUGCAUCGCAAGGUUGUUCGGAAAUUCUUAAUAUUUGGCACCAAGCGCAAAAUCUGAUCAGUAACUCUGCAACCAUUAAGACUGCGGACAGUUUGUUCAUCAGCGUUUUGUAGUAUUGAGUCCUGUGAAAUAUCUAAAUCUUCAGGAAUCACCCAAAGGGACAGCUUUGCAUAAAGAAGAUCUAUAGAAACACCUUUACACUUGAAUUUCAUUACUGGAACAUGCGCAUCAGGAACAGGAUGCAACUCUGUCACUUCAGGCAUCUCCGAAAGCAUUCUAUAUAGCUCGCCAAAAAAAUCUUCUUCUCGUGUUGCAUGUCUAGGCCCCACACAAAGCGUGUCUAUAUCUGCACCAGGGCCAUGCACUCCCAGCCGAUAAGAACCAAAGGUGAAAAUCUUAGCAUUUGCUUCUUGUACUAGUUGCUCAUUCAACCCUUUUGCACGGCUAAUUGCUUUGACCCAAUUUUUCACUAUCUGGUCUAGUCUCCCAAGAACUUCCUCUCUGCUCACAGCCUCCUCCUGACUCUCAUACAGUCCCACAUCUCGCAAAAACUUUUCAAGUUCGUGGGUUUUUAUCUCANNNNNUCUGUUGGUCCACCCAAGGAAAUGGGCUCCGUAAUGCCUAGCCGUUGUUGCUGCUGCCCAUUAUUUCGGGUGCUUAAUCCUGGGCUCCCCAUUUGUAAUUCCUUUCACAAAUUUUUAUUAUUUUGUUGUUUUUCUUAAUGGUAAUUCUCCUUUUUUUUUCACUUCUCUCUCCUUGUCUGAGUUUUGAAUAUGGGGAUAUCAGGCACAAUAUUUAUUGAUGAUGCCUUAAACAAACAUUUAAAUAGAAAAAAAAAAAAAAGCAAAUAAAAUAGAAAAGGG